GAUAAGAAAUGACUAAUAUUUUGUAAAUCUUAACAAUUUAAAUAAUGAAUAAUAAAAAUUAAUAUAUAAAAUUGAAGAAAAAUACAUGUGGGUAUAAAUAAUAUAAAUUAAAGGAACCAAAAUAGGAGGAAAAAAAUUAUAAAUUUAAUUAACAUAUGUAAAGAUGCAGUUCAAUAGUCAAGUUCGGAGAAUUUGAUGCCUUGAAAUUGUAAAAUUAAAAACUUAAUAACUUAAAAGUGUGCAUAUUGUUACCUAAUAAA
Molecule: unclassified non-coding RNA, 260 nt
Filed under: Melitaea cinxia (Glanville fritillary)
Lineage: Eukaryota; Metazoa; Arthropoda; Insecta; Lepidoptera; Nymphalidae
Description: misc RNA ENSMCXG00005000841.1
Source: RNAcentral